AUUGAACGCUGGCGGCAUGCCUUACACAUGCAAGUCGAACGGCAGCACGGGAGCUUGCUCCUGGUGGCGAGUGGCGAACGGGUGAGUAAUACAUCGGAACGUACCCUGAAGUGGGGGAUAACGUAGCGAAAGUUACGCUAAUACCGCAUAUUCUGUGAGCAGGAAAGAGGGGGAUCGCAAGACCUCUUGCUUUAGGAGCGGCCGAUGUCGGAUUAGCUAGUUGGUGAGGUAAAGGCUCACCAAGGUGACGAUCCGUAGCGGGUCUGAGAGGAUGAUCCGCCACACUGACACUGAAUAACGGGUCAGACUCCUACGGGAGGCAGCAGUCGGGAAUUUUGGGCAAUGGGCGAAAGCCUGACCCAGCAACGCCGCGUGAAGGAUGAAGUCUCUCGGGAUGUAAACUUCGUAAGAAUAGGAAGAAUAAAUGACGGUACUAUUUGUAAGGUCCGGCUAACUACGUGCCAGCAGCCGCGGUAAU
Molecule: ribosomal RNA, 478 nt
Filed under: uncultured bacterium
Lineage: Bacteria
Description: bacterial SSU rRNA
Rfam family: Bacterial small subunit ribosomal RNA
Source: RNAcentral